Molecule: ribosomal RNA, 172 nt
Filed under: uncultured bacterium
Lineage: Bacteria
Description: partial 16S ribosomal RNA
Rfam family: Bacterial small subunit ribosomal RNA
Source: RNAcentral
CCUACGGGAGGCAGCAGUAAGGAAUAUUGGACAAUGGAGGCAACUCUGAUCCAGCCAUGCCGCGUGAAGGAAUAAGGCCCUAUGGGUUGUAAACUUCUUUUAGACGGGACAAAACCCUUUACGUGUAAAGGGUUGAUGGUACUGUCAGAAUAAGCAUCGGCUAACUUCGUGC